This 253-nucleotide ribosomal RNA is filed under the name uncultured prokaryote. Its description in RNAcentral is "partial 16S ribosomal RNA". It matches the Rfam family "Bacterial small subunit ribosomal RNA", at positions 524 to 776 of the family's 1533-position model. The record is from RNAcentral.
UACAGAGGGUGCAAGCGUUAAUCGGAGUUACUGGGCGUAAAGGGCGCGUAGGCGGGUUGUUAAGUUGGAUGUAAAAUCCCUGGGCUUAACCUAGGAGUGUCAUCCGAUACUGGCGAUCUUGAGUACUGUAGAGGGUAGUGGAAUUUCCGGUGUAGCGGUGAAAUGCGUAGAGAUCGGAAGGAACACCAGUGGCGAAGGCGGCUACCUGGACAGAUACUGACGCUGAGGCGCGAGAGCGUGGGGAGCAAACAGG